Molecule: long non-coding RNA, 1031 nt
Filed under: Setaria viridis
Lineage: Eukaryota; Viridiplantae; Streptophyta; Magnoliopsida; Poales; Poaceae
Description: long non-coding RNA (SVIR_LNC006255)
Source: RNAcentral
ACACAGACCCAACCACCGCACUCCACUUAUCCAUCACUAAGCUUGGUUCCAAGAAGCUCUAGAUCGAGCGGCGGCAGCUAGUAGCCACCAUGGCGCGGCGGUCUCUUCUCCUGCCUCUGCUCGCGUCCCUCGCCCUGAUGGCGGCAGCUGUCGCGUCGGCCGACUCGUGGCUCUACGAGAAGUUCAACACGGACGGCACCGUCCGCACCGACUACGACGCGUCGGGGCAGCAGGUGGCGAUGCUCAACCUCGACCGGAGCUCCGGCGCCGGCUUCAACUCCAAGGAGAAGUACCUCUACGGCGAGUUCAGCAUCCAGAUGAAGCUCAUCGCCGGCGACUCCGCCGGCACCGUCUCAUGCUUCUACGUAAGUUGUUAGCUUAGUUUUCUCCGGACUCGAGACCCAAAACCUUUCUCGAUCUUGAGCUGAAUCACUGACGAUGCUCCCGAUGAACAACUGCAGCUAUCUUCCGGCGACGGCGACGACCACGACGAGAUCGACAUGGAGUUCAUGGGCAACUCCAGCGGCCAGCCCGUGGUGCUCAACACCAACGUGUGGGCCAGCGGCGACGGCAAGAAGGAGCACCAGUUCGACCUGUGGUUCGACCCGGCCGCCGACUACCACACCUACACCAUCAUCUGGAACCCGACCAACAUCAUCUUCAAGGUCGACGGCAACGUGAUCCGCUGCUUCAAGCGCUACGACGGCCUCGCCUACCCGAGCUCCAGGCCCAUGGCGCUGCACGCCACGCUGUGGGACGGCAGCUACUGGGCCACCCAGAAGGGCAAGGUCCCCAUCGACUGGUCCGGCGCGCCCUUCGUCGUCUCCUACCGGGGCUACUCCGCCGACGCCUGCGUCAGCGGCGGCGCCUGCCCCGCCGGCAGCGACCGGUGGAUGAACAAGCAGCCCGACAGCGCCGAGUGGGGCACCAUCAAGUGGGCGGAGAGCAACUACAUGCGCUACGACUACUGCCAGGACGGGUGGAGGUUCCCGCAGGGGCUGCCCGCCGAGUGCAGCCGCAGCUGAGUGCUG